This 942-nucleotide ribosomal RNA is filed under the name uncultured bacterium. Its description in RNAcentral is "bacterial SSU rRNA". It matches the Rfam family "Bacterial small subunit ribosomal RNA", at positions 15 to 948 of the family's 1533-position model. The record is from RNAcentral.
GAUCCUGGCUCAGAUUGAACGCUGGCGGCAGGCCUAACACAUGCAAGUCGAACGGUAACAGGAAGAAGCUUGCUUCUUUGCUGACGAGUGGCGGACGGGUGAGUAAUGUCUGGGAAACUGCCUGAUGGAGGGGGAUAACUACUGGAAACGGUAGCUAAUACCGCAUAACGUCGCAAGACCAAAGAGGGGGACCUUCGGGCCUCUUGCCAUCGGAUGUGCCCAGAUGGGAUUAGCUAGUAGGUGGGGUAACGGCUCACCUAGGCGACGAUCCCUAGCUGGUCUGAGAGGAUGACCAGCCACACUGGAACUGAGACACGGUCCAGACUCCUACGGGAGGCAGCAGUGGGGAAUAUUGCACAAUGGGCGCAAGCCUGAUGCAGCCAUGCCGCGUGUAUGAAGAAGGCCUUCGGGUUGUAAAGACUUUUCAGCGGGGAGGAAGGGAGUAAAGUUAAUACCUUUGCUCAUUGACGUUACCCGCAGAAGAAGCACCGGCUAACUCCGUGCCAGCAGCCGCGGUAAUACGGAGGGUGCAAGCGUUAAUCGGAAUUACUGGGCGUAAAGCGCACGCAGGCGGUUUGUUAAGUCAGAUGUGAAAUCCCCGGGCUCAACCUGGGAACUGCAUCUGAUACUGGCAAGCUUGAGUCUCGUAGAGGGGGGUAGAAUUCCAGGUGUAGCGGUGAAAUGCGUAGAGAUCUGGAGGAAUACCGGUGGCGAAGGCGGCCCCCUGGACGAAGACUGACGCUCAGUGCGAAAGCGUGGGGAGCAAACAGGAUUAGAUACCCUGUAGUCCACGCCGUAAACGAUGUCGACUUGGAGGUUGUGCCCUUGAGGCGUGGCUUCCGGAGCUAACGCGUUAAGUCGACCGCCUGGGGAGUACGGCCGCAAGGUUAAAACUCAAAUGAAUUGACGGGGGCCCGCACAAGCGGUGGAGCAUGGUGGUUU